RNAcentral lists this ribosomal RNA (563 nucleotides) under Kluyvera sp. RNAcentral's name for it is "bacterial SSU rRNA". It matches the Rfam family "Bacterial small subunit ribosomal RNA", at positions 94 to 653 of the family's 1533-position model. The record is from RNAcentral. Lineage: Bacteria; Pseudomonadati; Pseudomonadota; Gammaproteobacteria; Enterobacterales; Enterobacteriaceae.
AGUGGCGGACGGGUGAGUAAUGUCUGGGAAACUGCCCGAUGGAGGGGGAUAACUACUGGAAACGGUAGCUAAUACCGCAUAACGUCUUCGGACCAAAGUGGGGGACCUUCGGGCCUCACACCAUCGGAUGUGCCCAGAUGGGAUUAGCUAGUAGGUGGGGUAAUGGCUCACCUAGGCGACGAUCCCUAGCUGGUCUGAGAGGAUGACCAGCCACACUGGAACUGAGACACGGUCCAGACUCCUACGGGAGGCAGCAGUGGGGAAUAUUGCACAAUGGGCGCAAGCCUGAUGCAGCCAUGCCGCGUGUAUGAAGAAGGCCUUCGGGUUGUAAAGUACUUUCAGCGGGGAGGAAGGCGAUGAGGUUAAUAACCUUAUCGAUUGACGUUACCCGCAGAAGAAGCACCGGCUAACUCCGUGCCAGCAGCCGCGGUAAUACGGAGGGUGCAAGCGUUAAUCGGAAUUACUGGGCGUAAAGCGCACGCAGGCGGUCUGUCAAGUCGGAUGUGAAAUCCCCGGGCUUAACCUGGGAACUGCAUUCGAAACUGGCAGGCUAGAGUCUUGUA